Molecule: ribosomal RNA, 449 nt
Filed under: uncultured bacterium
Lineage: Bacteria
Description: bacterial SSU rRNA
Rfam family: Bacterial small subunit ribosomal RNA
Source: RNAcentral
GUCGAGAAUUUUUCUCAAUGGGGGAAACCCUGAAGGAGCGACGCCGCGUGGAGGAUGAAGGUCUUCGGGUUGUAAACUCCUGUCAUUUGGGAACAAGGCGCAGGUAUUAACUGUACCUGCGUUGAUAGUACCAGAAGAGGAAGAGACGGCUAACUCUGUGCCAGCAGCCGCGGUAAUACAGAGGUCUCAAGCGUUGUUCGGAUUCAUUGGGCGUAAAGGGUGCGUAGGUGGCGCGGUAAGUCGGGUGUGAAAUUUCGGAGCUUAACUCCGAAACUGCAUUCGAUACUGCCGUGCUUGAGGACUGGAGAGGAGACUGGAAUUUACGGUGUAGCAGUGAAAUGCGUAGAGAUCGUAAGGAAGACCAGUGGCGAAGGCGGGUCUCUGGACAGUUCCUGACACUGAGGCACGAAGGCCAGGGGAGCAAACGGGAUUAGAAACCCUAGUAGUCC